Molecule: ribosomal RNA, 433 nt
Filed under: uncultured bacterium
Lineage: Bacteria
Description: partial 16S ribosomal RNA
Rfam family: Bacterial small subunit ribosomal RNA
Source: RNAcentral
AACGAACGCUGGCGGCAUGCCUAACACAUGCAAGUCGAACGAGACCUUCGGGCCUAGUGGCGCACGGGUGCGUAACGCGUGGGAACCUGCCCUUAGGUUCGGAAUAACUCCCCGAAAGGGGUGCUAAUACCGGAUAAUGUCUUCGGACCAAAGAUUUAUCGCCUUUGGAUGGGCCCGCGUUGGAUUAGCUAGUUGGUAGGGUAAAAGCCUACCAAGGCGACGAUCCAUAGCUGGUCUGAGAGGAUGAUAAGCCACACUGGGAAUGAGACACGGCCCAGACUCCUACGGGAGGCAGCAGUGGGGAAUAUUGGACAAUGGGCGAAAGCCUGAUCCAGCAAUGCCGCGUGAGUGAUGAAGGCCUUAGGGUUGUAAAGCUCUUUUACCCGGGAUGAUAAUGACAGUACCGGGAGAAUAAGCUCCGGCUAACUCCGUG